AAAGAGAUCUGGCCCAUGUCCUAAGGACAUUUCAGGUGUUUAAUGCACUAUAUAAAGAGGGUGGAAUGAAAAUUACUAUUUCUUUCAAAGGUGGCACAAUAAUUUCCCUGAAUAUCCAGUUUUUCCCUCCUCUCCCUUUGUGGUUUUGUCUAUUGGGCUAUUUGCUUUCCCUUUGAAUCUUUAGUUGCUUUAGCAAAACUGCUUUGCCCAAAAUAAAUCUCACCCUGUUCUACAUUUUUUUUUUUUAAAGUAACAUUUCAAAGAAAAUCUAUAAGCAUCACAGCCCAUGAUCCUCUGCUGGGGAGGGAAUGGGAUAGAUUUGAGUUUGAAAAUGGUUUCUGAUUUUGAUUGCAUUUUUUGUGUAUUAUACUAUUGGAGACUGCAUCAUCCACGGGGCAGAAAAGAAUUGCCCCUGCCUUGGUCUCAUACCCCCUCCCCCCAACAACUGUGAGUGAAAUUAACAAAGAUGUCAGAAAUGGCCCCAAUCCCAUGGUCUGAACCACAGAGGAAACAGCUGAGUUUAAAUUGUUCUUAUGCAGGCAGCAGGCAUCCUGGGCAGGCUUCUCCCUCAGCCAGUCCCCCUGCUCCCUGCUGCAAGCUAGAGGAAAGCUGUUGCAGCCCCUGCUGAGUGCUUUUGGAGGGGAGCGUGGAGCCUAUGUGUGUCAGCAGCCUGGGUGGAAGAGGAGGGAGAACAAGGAAAAAAAUAUGAGCGUUUUCACUUUUUCAGGCUUAUUCCAAUAUUAAAGUUUUAUUACAGACAGUAUAGGUAGUAGUAGUAGCAGCUGCUUUAUUUUCUAAUCUCAGUCAUGCAAUGGGAGGGAUCCAUGAAGUAUGGAGGAGAGGUGGGUUGCUUGCAAUUGGACUGUACUGGUAAGAAAUGUAAAUUACUUUCACCCCUGAUAGUAAGGUCAUUUUCAAGACCUUCUCCAAGGAGAGUGCAUUACUGUAGUUUUAGUGGGCAAGUGAUAAAGAUGAAACAAACUUUGUUAGAAAAAUAGUUCUAAUCUCUUAGGGAAGCACCAUUGACGCCCUGAGAAUUCAGGGAUGGCUCCAAUAAGACACACAGCUUCUGAGUACAAGGAACACACAUCCCCCAACAUAAGCAAUAUCAAUGAUUGAUUCUGUGUAUAUUUUGUUAUGAAAUGUUUUUGUUCUACAAAGUUACUCCACAACUUUAACUCUGAUCUAGAAUGCAGCAUGCCUGUUUCCUCUCUGUGGGUCUCUUGGCCCCUUGGAAAUAACUUGUUGACAAUCACUUAAAUAUUAAUAGGGCUAUCCAGUGGGACACUUCUGAUUAGGAGGAAAACAAGAUCAAGCACUGCUAAAUAACUGUCAUUCAAAGUAGCUUAAAUGCAAACUUACUUUACAGACCAAAACUGUGUCUACAAGUAUGACAGUUGAAAAGUAGAUUGUUUGAGCCUAUUACAUUCCUGGAAAAAGGGUAGCAUAAUCAAAUGCCUGUAGUAAUCCUUUUAAAGUAUGAGUAUUGGCGGACAAGCCCUAAACAAGAUAACAUUUUCACCAAUUGUAGCCAAGUUGAAAUGUUUGACAAUUAAACAUUGAAAUAUUGUUUAUUUACAUAAGGAGUAUUAAUGAAUGAGGGUACAUUCAGUUAAUUAAAAAUACCCACCAAAAUGCACUUUGACACCACCUUGGCUGGGUAGGGUUUUAGUUAUUGACUGUAUCCCUUUGUUUCCUACUUACAGUUUAAUGUGUAGUUAAAGGCCAUACAGAAUCACUAACACAUUGGGAUGCCUGACAUGGUAACUUGCUAAUAUAGGCUUUUGUACAUGCUUUGAAUAGUGGUAACGCCUGUAAGCUUCAAUUAUUGUGCUAGGGUCCUUUGCUUGAUUAGCUGCUAAAAGUGCAUUUAUUAUAUCCUUCACGCAAGGCUAUCCCUUUGCUUAUCAAACACUAAUGAAGCCUUACAACCCUCACUUGCUAUGACUCAAGAAUGUGUAUUACACUUUUACAGGCAAAUAAAACACUAUAAAUAUCUGUAGUCUCAGGGCAUGUCUACCCUACAAAUGUACAGCAGCUAAGCUGUGCCACUAUAGCACUUCUGGUGAAGACGCUUUAAGCCGACAGAGAGCUAUAUUAGCAAGGAGAGUGCACUCCUGUUGGCGCAAUAACUCCACCUCUGUGAGAGGCAGUAGCUGUCAGCAGGAGAAGCUCUCCCACCAACAGUGUUGUCUACAGCAGUGCUUAGGUCAGUAUAACUAUGUCGCUCAGGCAGUGUGGAUUAAUCACACCCCUCAGUGAUGUAAUUACACUAAAGUAAUUUUGUAGUGUUCAGGGCUCAAGGGGGCAGAAAGGAAUGAACCAAAUAUUAUUGUAAUUUGCACAUUAAGCAUGCAGUUAGGAACUUACCCCUCCCUCUGUGAAACAGGUAAAUAUUGUACAUUUUUCUGCCUUAUAAAUUGAAGGCUAUUCAGCAUGCCACCCUUUACAGAUCUCAUGGCUCCAUGUCAGUCAAGUGCUGAAUUAAAGACACACCUCCUUUCCCUUCCCUCUAAUUCUUUUGGCUCCUUUUUUCUGGAAGUGCUUAACCUGCACCUGACUUCUUUUAUCAUAUGCCUUUUAAUGAUUUUUUUCUUCUCUCUUUCCAGGUAUAAAGUGCAAAAAAAAUGAAACAAGGCCGGGAAAUUAUAGGAUAAAGCCAAGAUAAAAGGAGAGCAACAGCCGAAGGGCCUUAUACUUAAGCUAUGAUUGACAGAGCCUUGCUUUUUUUCUGGGUAGGUGAAACCAUGAAAAGCCUCAAAUGUUUUUGGCUGUAAGGCUGGGAAAAACUACAAGAGGCACUACAGAUGAGUAAAUGAAGUUGGAUUACUUGUAACAGGACUUCUUCAAGAUGAGACUGCGUAUUACGGGUAUUGCACUUGAUGUCCCCUUUGAUUCCUUCCCUCAGCAUCUCUGAACAGAAUGAGGGCAAAGCACAGGAUGUGUGAAAAUAUAAAAACCACUCAGGUUUGUGUCUGAUAGAAUUUGUCUCUCUUCUUGGAGAUUGGUCAACUUCUGCCUUUUAACAGCCUAGCAGGCUGCAGCAGGCCAUUGAGAAUUGGUAAGGAUAUACUGCUCUUGGAGGAAUCCCCAAGAAUGUCAAACACUGGAUGAGAGGUCUCCUCCACGGCUACUGAAGGUGAAUUCAAUAUGGAUGCUGUGUGACCCACCAGGUCAUGGAACUGUAGAGCAUCCUCAGAAUGAAAAGAGGCAGAUGCUCAUCUGGUGAUAAAUCAGGUUUGUAGUCUCUCUCAUCUCUUUUUGAACAAGACCAUACAAUCUCAUCUUCCUCUUCCGAUAGAGUAUCAGGUGCCACUGCCUCAGAUGCAGAUGGAUCCAAUGGAACUAGGUCCAGGGAUUCUCAGCUGCCAGAUUCACUACAGGUGAAACAUCCCCUCUCCAUCUACAAGGAUGACAACUUACAAAUUCCUGAAGCAGCACACCAUUAUAGAGCCCAGGACACAAAUCCACAAGAGGACGAGGAGGAGCAAAAGGAGGCAUGAACCAGGAGUAAUCAGUUCUCUUCCUCCUUUAUCCUCCUCUAAACAUGGAUCCAGCCUUGGCUCUGUGCUGGACCACACAGAUGAGAGCGAUGGUCCUAGAGGGUGGCAAGAAAUAAACAGGGAGAAAGCUUUUCAUGGAGACUGUAGGAGACUUUGGAGGAGGAAGUCUAGACAGAUCAGAGGAGAGGCUAAUAAUCUCUUGCUCUUCUCCUUUUUUCAGGUGAAGACAAACAGCCUCUCUCUUCCUCAAGAUCCUAUUUCUUACUCAGAAGCCAAACAGUGAAUAUCUGCCACUAAAGUAAGGGUCCACAUAAGAUCUGAAGAGGGACCCAGAACCAGAGCAGAGCUUGGAGCUGAAGAGCAGGAUAGUGCAGAAGCCAAUGAAAUACCAUUGGUUCUCGAAGUUGAAACAGGAUUGGGUUUUGGAGCUGAGCCAAAGGGCCCAUGACAGAGUUGGACGGAUCCAACAAAUCUGACACGUGAUCUGGCAUUCUAACAGCCUAACCCUGAAGAAGAGCUCCGUAUAGCUUGAAAGCUUGUCUCUCUCACCAAUAGAAGAUGGUCCAGCAAAAGAUAUCGUGUCCCUCACCUUGGCACAUCUAACAGUGUCCGUCUUCUCCCUUGCUGCCUUUUUUUGUAACUGACACAACUGGAGCAAAUCUGGCUGUAAGUUCAAAGGCAGGUGGUUUGGCCUUUCUCCACCAACAAUGCCUUCGAAACUCUGACUGCCUGAGCCACAGGAUCUGGAGUAGGACCCAAGAAAGUUCCAGUUUGCUGGAAUUUUUGAGGUGCUUUGACUUGCUGGAAGUCGUCACGGGAGCCAAAGCAGGUGUCUCAGGCCUUGGAUCAGAUGAGUGCCUAGAGCCUCAUAUUCCUCUUUAAGGAGAAGCACUUACAAUCUCUUCUGCCUCUCCUGGCGAGGCCUGGGCAUGAAAAUCCAACAGAUGAAACAUGCAGGAGAGUGUUCCUUGUCCAAGCAGUUCAGGUACCUAUGUGAUCAUCCAACGCCAGAAAAACAGCCAGGCAUGAAGCACACCUCUUGAAUCCCAGCUCCUUCAGUUCCACCAUCACCCAGAACUGAGAAUUCCUGAAAUAGUCCUUGGACAUGGGGAUUAGAACUUCAGUAGGACUAGCCCUGUUCUAAAGGUACGUAUGUGCAUCUAGAUGGCACCAUCUAUUUCAUUAAAUGUAAGAAAACCCAUGUCAUAAUGAAAGGUAAAGGUUGGCUCAAUUAAAAUCCCAACUCUAAUAGAGUGCUAUUAGCAAAUGCUCUACUGCAUAAUCUUGGGCUUUGACUCCACUUUAAACGGUGAUGGUUACAGAUACCAUGCAGCUCCAUGCAAAUAAUUCCAGUUUUUUCAGACAAGUCAUUGCAAUGAGUACAAAACCAGUGUUUUCAACAUACCACAUUCUUGAUGACCUCAUCUUUGCCAUCAUGCUUUUGUACUUUCAGCAAAUGGUAGCAGAAAUCCAAAACAUCAAAGCGACGCUGCUGUCCCAAAAGCACAAUGAUCAUACAUCCAGCCCAGUGCAGCCCAUCUCCAAAGCACUGUCUGUAAUAGAGUACAAAGUCUAUGAAAAUUGUAUAUUUCACCUAAAACUCCCAAGAACCAGUUAGCAUGAACUAUUGAGUCACUGGACAUUUUCUCUUCAAAAAAAUAGGAGUCUAAAAACCAUGCAUAAGAUGUUUUCCAGGCUGAGGUUUAUAACCCUGUCAUUUAGAAUCAUUCUCUAUUAAAUGAACAAUAUUUAGAAACUGCAAGCACUAGAAAUGCUGAAAAUCUUUAUCCAAUUUUAAGUUCUUCCAAAAAUAUUUGCUCCCCAUUACUCUGCAGCAGUGCUACUGUCACAUUAACCAACAGAACAAACUGAUAAUGCCACACCACCACAUUUAGUUGGUCUCUGUGGAUUAAUGGGAGCAAUGUCCUAAGACUUCCCAUCAACAACUGGCCAAUGAGAGGCAAAUUGUAGCUCAAUCUUUCCUUCUGAAAACUGACAAACAUAAUGCAAAGAACUAAAGAAUUGAAGAUUGCAGGACACUAACUUCUGAAUUCUCAUUCCUGCUGCUAACCCACAGAAAAUAAGCAAGUACCUGAUAAAUUACUUAUAAAAGUUAUUUUACUUAAAUUCAGCAACUGUAGUGGGAUAAGCAUCACUGGUGUUGAGAGGUGUACACUAGGAUCUCUUCCUUAUGGGAUCUUCUAUUAUGUACCAACAUAUUUAAAAUACAUGAUUUUUAAAAGAUACAAUUAAUAUUUGUGUUCCUGUGCUAAUAGGCCCUCUCAGUCCCUUGUUCUUUGUUCUGUGCUUGCCUCACUGAGCCAUGUCAGAAAUAUGAACACCAGCAUUAUGUUUUAUAUCCCCACUUCUAGCCUGGAAAUACAAUAAAGUACUGUUGCAAGCAAGUGCAUAAUUGGCAGCCUAUGAUACAUACUCCACAGUAAACUCGUGUGUUCCCACAGGAAUGCAGUACACAAACUGCAUCGCACUCCAGAGACGGUGAAAUUCCACACAUUCAUCCACAUGCAUCACGCCAUUGCUGGGAAGGGGGCCACGCCAGAUUGGGUCAUCCAGGAAGGUCCGAAUCCUCGUCAAGAUGACCUCAAACAUGGAUAGGCCACAGCAGAGGCGUUCCUUGGUCAGCAAAUCUCCUUCCCUUGCUAUUGCAAUUUGCUAAGAUUGAGAGGAGGAAAUAAAAAGUAAAUGAAACAGCAUUUCAGAUUAGUUAUGGGGGAGGUGUGGUUUGUUUGAAAGCCUUAUAUUUGUGCAGGACGAAGCUCUAUUAGGGUGUUAUGCUGAUCUGAAAACAGCAAAGAAAACCCCACAGCAAGAUGCCUGGGCCAGCCAACUUCUGGGGCUCAGGCUGCGGGGCAGUUUCAUAGCUGUGUAGACUUCUGGGCUCGGGCUGGAGCAAAGCUCUGGGGCCCUUCCACCCAGACAUCUACACAGCAGUGAAACAGCCCCGCAGCCCAAGCCCUGUGAGCCUAAGUCAGCUGACACGGGCCAGCUGUGGGUUUUAAUUUGCUGUGUAGACACGCCCCAAGAGUACUGUAAGACAGUUUACCUGCGUGCCCCAAUUCCAGUUCUGCACAUUGCCUUGGAGCAGAUUCAUUCGAGUGAAUUCAGACUGAGUUGUUUAAACAAAAGUAGUAUUACCAGCUGGGUCACUAGUUUUGACUCUCCUUUUUGAACCAGUGCUUUUAAGGUCUCCUGGAGUCAAGGGUCAAGUGAAUGAUGGAAGCCACAAAACACCAACAAUGAAAUAUCUGGGUUAAUUUUUUCACCCGCUCAAUGGAAGAGAAGUUUUUAAAGGCUUUCUGAGUGGAAAGGACAGACGCUACUGUACUGCGCCAAGGUUUGCAACGUUGGUUUUUGUUUGCCUGGGUUUUUUUUUUUUGUGUUUUGUUUUGUUUUUUAACUGAAAUGAGUCAGAAGACAAAAAUUGGUGUGUUCUGUUGUCUGCUGGCAGGCCCAGGUAAUGGUCCCUCCCUCACUUAUUGCUGACUCCCUGGCCUGCUGCUAUCAGAGGCUGAUGUGCUUCAAAGCGAGCAUGAAGAUAUCUGUACAACUGUAGUAAACUGAGAUUUAUAAUCAAUACUUGCUCUCUCUAUAUUGUACCAGCUUGUGCCCUCCCAUUGUAAGUUCUCUGCGGUAGGGACCGUGUUGCUUGCUCAGCACAGCUCAUCUAACUCUACCCGUGGUGCUAAAGGUAGUCUGAACUCUAUACUUGACAUCAUUCCCUUUUGGCCCCCCAAAUCCCUGUCUCUCAAGCACAGAGUGUCAGCUGUUGAAGCAAAUGGGGAAUGAAACACACUCUACAAGGACACAGAGGAGAAUGGCCUCUGGACAGCAAGAGCAGUUCACUGACAAGGCAUUGAGGAGGAAGAAUGUUCUCUGUUAGUAAUUAAUUUUCCAGGAAAGCUCAGAUCAAAUAGAAGAGUUGGUUUCCAAAAAGGUUCUGAUUUUAUCCAAUUUGUUCACUGAAUCACAAGAGAACAAAUGACUUUUUUAAAAGGUCACAGAGCAAAUCAGUUGCUUUUGGUGGAAUUUGAACAGGGAGCCCCUUGGGUUCAAAUCCUUUGCUUUACACAUUAUAUCACAAUAGUGUACAUGGAAAUUAACACUUUAAUCCUCUCCUAAAACUUAAAAUGUCACCUCUGCACUGUCCCAAACAUUCAGACAAUAAGCCACCUGUGCACACAAGCUGCUGACCAACUUUACUGAAUCCAUGGAUUUACUACAGGCCUCAUUGUGUGAACAAUUUGUGUGUGACAUUUGUAAUUCUGACAUGGCUACUGAUAUUGUAAGGGUCUCAGGUUUCUUGUGCACUGAUAUUUCUGCAUAAAAUGUCUGGGGCACAAAAUGUAGGACAUUACCUGGGGUGUUCCUAAUCUUUCAAUCAGAGGAACAAGAUGGAGUGGAGCAUAUUUUGAUUCUAGUCUUUUCAUUUUAGCAUCAAGUCUUUCACCCUCUGAAAGAGAGAAAAAAAAACAAAAAACAAAAACCCAUGUUAUCCUUUAAAGUUAGGUGACUUCACUUUAUAAACAAAGAACAUUGCUGUACAGAAAUUCGUGGUUUUAUUGCAGUUUAUUUUUGUCACAGUAGGAGUUGUGUAAAUUAUUCCUUUGAUGGGUAAUUUAAUUCAAAAUGGCUUGCUUUUUCUUCAGUAUGCAUUUUAUUUGAUGUAUAGUAUCCAUUGACAGGUUUAUUCCUUUAACAAUGUUACAUUAUCAUUCAUGUUUAAAGAAACUAACUAUACAGGCAAAAACUAGUAGUGAAACUCAUUUUGUUAUUAACUCAUUUCUGCCCUCAAAAUAAGGCUCUUAUGCUGUCUAUAACAUAGUGUGACCCCCAUGCAUACUGAGACAAUUAAAAUCACCCUUAUCACAUGCAAAAUACUUGCCUCCAGAGGAUGGGGUUAUACUGAAGGUGUUUUAUGUAUGGAAAAGUUAAAAAAAAAACAAAAAAAAAACCCCAACACUCACCAUUAGUGAGUAGGAAAUGUUCUCUGGUGACUGGGUGAAUAAAAUUUGCAAUGAUCUGGUUAGUCAGAUGGCUGUCUACAGGGAUCUGAGUAACUGCAAUAAAUCUAAUAAGGCUCUUUCACUUUGUUAUUUAUGUGAAUCCUAUGAGCAGAGGCAUAGAUAGAUCUGCUGCUGCUGGUAGUGGGGCAGAAGUAGGAAAAGAGGAACACACACACACAAAAGCAGUAGAAGGAUAAAACGGGGAACAGAAGCAGCUCACCUUCCAGCAGUCAGGAAGGGGAGAAGAGAAGAUAGACUGGAAGGAACAAAUCCUGCAAGGUAAUUCAGCAAAGCAUUUAAGCAUUUGAAAAGUCUGUGGCAACCAUGCAUGUGGUUGUGCUUUGCUGGAUCAGAGAGACAGUACUCAGCACCUUGCAGGAUCCAGCCCUAACCCUCCCCAUCCCCAAGUUUAUUUUGCACACCUACAAGCCAAGGCUGAUAUGAAGAAUGGGACCUCAUAGCAAGUCCAGCAUUCUCCAACCUCAUCACCAAGUGGGGAUGAGGCAGCGUUGGGCAUAUCGCCAGUGUGCUGCACAGAGCAUUCUUGAUCACCCCAGCCCUGGGAGCCCUGGUUAAUAGGCUUAGGCCUCCUGCUUUUCUGUGUCCUGUACAAUUGUCAGGCUUGCAGAUACUCAGGAAUUUGCUGUCUUUACAAAUGAAUAGUGCUUGUGUAAAGAAAGUUUCAGAGUGAUGAAUUCACCAACAAGGAAGCAACAUCGGGGAUAAUACUGCUGGAGAAUAAAUGCUCGUCUAGCCCAUACCUUUGACAUGAACCCUUGGUAAUAUAUUCUGGAAUGGUGCAGCAUGCAACAGGUCACACACUUCCUCUAGUGACUAGAACAAAAAGAAACAAGAAGCAUUUAGGAGUUAAACAGCAGCAGCAUGUCAAGGGCACCAAAAUCUGCUUCUAAAAUCAUGCUGAUAUUCUAAAACAAACAGCGGCUGACACCAGAGGGCAGCAAGCACCUACAGUUAGAACAAACACAUGCUGCUUUUGGCUCCCUUUUCACAGAAGUAUUUAGCAGCAAUUUGGCUUUUGCAGGUUACCUUGGAUUCACAAAGAUUUACAGCAACUCUACCCACCCAGAGUUGGCAGUUCUUAAAGGACGGAGGCUAUUUAUUGAAAAGAUAAAUGCAGAAUGACGAAGUUCUGUGUUAAAGUGGCAGACGGAUCCUGUGUAGACACACAAUGUGAACAAAGCAGUCUUGGCGAGGCAGAGCCGGGAAGCAGACCAGGUGCAGAGUCUUAAAUGCUUUCCCUAAGAUGCCGGGGCAUAGAAGCCCAGGGACCUGACGGUGGCUCUAGAAUCUUUCAGGCCAUGGAAUUUUGCAUCUGUUUGUUUGGAGAAGAGAGAAGCUCAAACGGAAGGUCCUGAAUGGACUACUGAACCUCGGGUGAUAGUCCUGAGGAUUGGAGUCAAGAGCACCUUUCCAUGACCACUGCUGAUGCCUUUGUUCUAUCAGCUAUGCCAAGAGCAGCCUGAAGGGAGGCCCUGGUUACAGUCUUCCCUUUCUCCAUCAGAGCGGAGAAUUCCUGUCUGGACUCCUGUGGCAGUGAGUCCUUGAAUUUUGAUAGAGCGGCCCUUCUCUCAGACUCCACCGAGUACAAACGACUGAAAGGCAGUCCCGAUACCGGGGGGAAAUCCAAUAGAUUCCAAAAAGGCCAUUGGACUGGCAUUGGCUACUGCCCACUGGGCCAGGUGCCUGGAGGAGCACCUGCACUGGGAUCAGAUGGACCGUAGGUUGGGUACUGGUAUUGGCCCCUUGGUUGGGUGCAAGAUUCCACCUCUGACUCUGAGAACAAGUUGGCUUGAGAGGACCAUGGGGGGAUGGUACCCCUCGCUUCCGUCAGCCAGAGCCAAGGGUCUGGGGAAAGUGCUGGAGCAAGGAAGUCUUUGCUAACAUCAGCAGGUUGGUUUCCCUCUGGUUGGUAUCAGUGCUAGGAUAGGAGCUUGGGGCAACAUGCUUCCUUCGCUUGAUGACCUCACUGGUGCCAGAACUUGCCCCGCUGGAGUCUGCGGAACCAGGAGAGUCAUCAGGUCCCUGACUGCUACAAAUGUCUCUGGGGUGGACAGCACCGUGUCCCGCUGGCACCACAAUGUUCACCCAGUGUCGGAGGAUGGUGCUGCACUGGACUUGUGAGUAGGGCAGAGUCAACGGUGCUGCUUGCCGGCAUAUAGGAGUGGCUGCUGGAAGAGCAUUCCACACGAAUGCUGAGGUACUCAGUGCAGCGUCCGACCAGCUUGACUCGGACUUUGGUCUGAGUGCAGGUGCCACAAGUACUCCUUUUCUUAUUACUACUAAAAGAGAUAAACUAAAGGUAACUAAACUCAUGAAAGAACGGAACAGAAGCACCCAUGAAUGCCUUGCAAAGGCAAGAGAAGUUGUUCCAGUGACCGUCACAGGUUGUAAAGAAGGAACUGAGAGCGCACGGCGCCGGCUAGGCCCCUUAUACUGACGCAUGAGCGCAUGGCACCAGAGGAUGCUAGAGCCAGCCUGACGGAUAUCACUGAGGGAAAAAUCUGCAGCGACUGUGCACAUGUCAUGCGCACACUAACAUGGAAUGGAAAUGAGCAAGCACUCAAAGAAGAACAAGGUCUUAUAAUGGAAAGUUUCACACAAAUUUAACUAGAGGCGUCGCCACCUGUGCCACCUGUAACAUUUUCCCCCUUUAUACUGCCUUGUAUCCACCUGAGGGUCACAAAGCAGCACAUAAUUUAACCUCACAACAUCCCUUUGUAUCCCUAUUUUACAGACAGGGAAAACUGAAGCAAAAAGACAGAGGGAGACUUGGUCACACAGCAAGUCUUUGGCCCAGAUCUCCUUAGCCCCCACACCGUACAUCCCAUUGUACAUUAUCUAAGAGCAUAAGGAGGACAUACUGAGCCAGACCACUGGUCAAUCCAGCCCAGUAUCCUUCUGACUGCGGCCAAUGCCAGGUGGUUUAGAAGGAAUGAACAGAACAGGCAAUCAUCAAGUGAUCCAUCUUCUGUCGCCCAUUGCCAGCUUCUGGCAA
Molecule: long non-coding RNA, 11543 nt
Organism: Dermochelys coriacea (leatherback sea turtle)
Lineage: Eukaryota; Metazoa; Chordata; Testudines; Dermochelyidae
Exons: 3
Source: RefSeq, a predicted model, not a curated record